AUCUCCGGGGGUAGAGCACUGUUUCGGCAAGGGGGUCAUCCCGACUUACCAACCCGAUGCAAACUGCGAAUACCGGAGAAUGUUAUCACGGGAGACACACGGCGGGUGCUAACGUCCGUCGUGAAGAGGGAAACAACCCAGACCGCCAGCUAAGGUCCCAAAGUCAUGGUUAAGUGGGAAACGAUGUGGGAAGGCCCAGACAGCCAGGAUGUUGGCUUAGAAGCAGCCAUCAUUUAAAGAAAGCGUAAUAGCUCACUGGUCGAGUCGGCCUGCGCGGAAGAUGUAACGGGGCUAAACCAUGCACCGAAGCUGCGGCAGCGACACUGUGUGUUGUUGGGUAGGGGAGCGU
This 349-nucleotide ribosomal RNA is filed under the name Escherichia coli. RNAcentral's name for it is "partial 23S ribosomal RNA". It matches the Rfam family "Bacterial large subunit ribosomal RNA", at positions 892 to 1239 of the family's 2925-position model. Lineage: Bacteria; Pseudomonadati; Pseudomonadota; Gammaproteobacteria; Enterobacterales; Enterobacteriaceae. The record is from RNAcentral.